Molecule: ribosomal RNA, 614 nt
Filed under: Ochthebius brevicollis steinbuehleri
Lineage: Eukaryota; Metazoa; Arthropoda; Insecta; Coleoptera; Hydraenidae
Description: partial 16S ribosomal RNA
Rfam family: Bacterial large subunit ribosomal RNA
Source: RNAcentral
GUCUUUUUGAUAAUAAUUUAAAGUCUAACCUGCCCUAUGAAUAUUAAAUGGCCGCGGUAUUUUGACCGUGCAAAGGUAGCAUAAUCAUUAGUUUUUUAAUUAAAAGCUGGAAUGAAUGGUUGGACGAGAAAAUUACUGUCUCAAUUUAAUUUAAUUAGAAUUUUAUUUUUAAGUUAAAAAGCUUAAAUGAAUUUAAAAGACGAGAAGACCCUAUAGAGUUUAAUAUUAUGAAUAUUUUUUAUUUCUAUAAAUUAUUAAAUUUUUAUAAUAUUUUAUUGGGGUGAUAAAUAAAUUUAUAUAACUUUAUUUUUUUUUUUACAUAAAUAAAUGAUUUAAUGAUCCAUUAUUAAUGAUUAUAAGAUUAAAUUACCUUAGGGAUAACAGCGUAAUUUUUUUAGAGAGUUCAAAUCGAAAAAAAAGAUUGCGACCUCGAUGUUGGAUUAAAGUAAAUUUUUGGUGUAGAAGCUAAAAUAUUAAGUCUGUUCGACUUUUAAAACUUUACAUGAUCUGAGUUUAAACCGGCGUGAGCCAGGUUGGUUUCUAUCUUUAAAUAAAUAAAAUAUUUUAGUACGAAAGGACCAAAUAUUUAUAAUAAUUAUUUUUUAUUUGACUAU